UUCGGUCGGACAACAACGAGGGAGAGGGAGGAGCGGAGAGAGACUUCGUCUCUCGGUCUCCAUCUGAUCGCUAGCGCGCUUCCCCACGGCGAUUGUUCCUUUCCCGUGCGCCCCCCAAAGCUGCAAGCCUCACGGAAGGGUUUCUAAAGCGGAAAAGAUCGAGAAGACGAGGGUUGCUUAAGCUCUUGGUGAGCUCGUCGCACUACGAGUAGUCACUUCAGCGAACCAAGUAGCCAGGUUUAGGUGUCUCGAGGCGGAGGAUGAGUGGCGUCUCGAGGCGGCGUUUCGCGGCGGCUACGGCCGCGAUAUCGGUUUCUGUUGUGACGCUCCUGUUUCUGCUCACCGUCGGUUUUUAUGGGCAGCGAGUAGAUGCUGAAAGGGAGAUCGGACUCGGAUCCGAGCAACACGGCUCCGGCUCCGGCUCCAACCGCAAGCUCCUCCAAGUCGACGAAGGUACUGUUCUUGUUACGCCAACCGUUAGCUUAAGACAAAUCGCUGUCCCCGAACCGUCCGAUCUCCGUCCCUGUUAUCUGGUAGGACCCGCAGGUGGUUUCGUACGACGACUGCCCCCCACGGCGCGAGCGCGAGCGCCACCGCCUCCCAGACGACAACUCCUGCCCGCCCACGGAAGUAGCCCACGAACCAAUUCCGUGCGUCUUUGUCGAUGCCCACGACGGAAAAGGGAAGCGGGAAGGAACGCGAUGACGAGUCGCCCUCUCUCCCUCCCUCCUCUUCGUCUGACGUCCUGCCGGUCCCUUGUUUACCUUUCCACCUUCAC
Long non-coding RNA from Musa acuminata AAA Group (dessert banana), 778 nucleotides. RefSeq lists it as uncharacterized. Lineage: Eukaryota; Viridiplantae; Streptophyta; Magnoliopsida; Zingiberales; Musaceae. The transcript is spliced from 3 exons. The record is from RefSeq and is a predicted model, not a curated record.